RNAcentral lists this long non-coding RNA (283 nucleotides) under Carica papaya (papaya). RNAcentral's name for it is "long non-coding RNA (CPAP_LNC004371)". Lineage: Eukaryota; Viridiplantae; Streptophyta; Magnoliopsida; Brassicales; Caricaceae. The record is from RNAcentral.
GUGUUUAAAAUAGAAUUUCGAGCAAAGGAUAAAUUUUUUUACCUCUUUUGGCGAUCGGAAUUGGCUCUGGCGCAGCGAUAACAGCAAUUGACUUCCUUCCCAGUGACUGGGUCUUCUUCUCCGGGAGGGGAGAGGUCUAACGACUAAGGUUAGGACUUGGUGUGAAAAGGGUUAUUUAUAUCCAUCUCUUUUUAAUCUGAGUCGUUCAUUGUGAUUUGAUUUGAGCCGUCUGAUCACAUUUAAAUAGAAAGUAGAUCUGAAUCGUUCAUCAUAUUUAAUCGUG